This is a long non-coding RNA of Drosophila arizonae, 93 nucleotides long. The record is from RefSeq and is a predicted model, not a curated record. Lineage: Eukaryota; Metazoa; Arthropoda; Insecta; Diptera; Drosophilidae.
ACCUUGCAAGCGUGUCGAACAGCUUUACUCCUAGAACUAAGUUAGCUUAGACAUCUGGGUUAAUUAGUUUCUCAGAGUGUACAUCGCUUAUGU